AAACACCAAUUAUCUGCUCCCUAUUGAAGAUAACACUGUGCAUUUGCGACUUCAUUAACUGGGCUCUGUAGUCUUUUUUAAACGCGCUCACUUUUAUCCUGAUCUGCCCAGUGUUCUUAAAUAUUAGGUGCCACCAGGACGUUCAACAAGCGCAGUCUCUUUACCCUUCAUCAAUGCCAGAGUGGGUAAUGCAGAGAGUCAGGAGAAUCCCACUGGACGUGUGACUGAAACAAACACAUGGGACUGAGCCUGGGGGGCUGCAGGGGAGGGGCAGAGGCAGCCAGAACUUCACUCAACCAUCGAUUUCUUUUUUUUUCUUUGUAAGCAGAGCAUUUUAUCUGUAGCUGAAACUGCUUGGGAAGCACAUCGAGUCUGUAAGGCAAGAUCAUUUCCCCAGUGUGUGGCCACAU
Long non-coding RNA from Colossoma macropomum (tambaqui), 410 nucleotides. RefSeq lists it as uncharacterized. The transcript is spliced from 3 exons. The record is from RefSeq and is a predicted model, not a curated record. NCBI's taxonomy places the organism in Eukaryota, Metazoa, Chordata, Actinopteri, Characiformes, Serrasalmidae.